This is a long non-coding RNA of Alosa alosa (allis shad), 888 nucleotides long. RefSeq lists it as uncharacterized. The record is from RefSeq and is a predicted model, not a curated record. NCBI's taxonomy places the organism in Eukaryota, Metazoa, Chordata, Actinopteri, Clupeiformes, Clupeidae. The transcript has 3 exons.
AUCGAUCAUUCAUCAGCAUCAUCCUCAUUUGUAGUAUGCUUGGUUGCAUUUUCACAGUCACCAGCAAAGCAUUUGCAAAGAGGAGUACAGGGAAUUCCAUGUCUUUGACAAGUGCACCUGAGUGUUUUGCACUGGGUUUUGCACACACAUUUUGUCUUCUUGUAUCUUCUGUUUGAAUCUUUGCAAUGUGAUUCUCAGAGUUUCUUUGUGUUCCCUUUUAAAGAUUUUCUCCUAUCCUUUGGAUUUGAAGAACAACCUUAUUUUGAGAGCUAGAAUUUUACAUGUGAUUUUUUUUUCCAGUCUCAUCUCUCUGUUUAGAUUUUCUUUCUCCAAAUUUCAAAUUGAAAUCGAGACUUUCAUAUAACGCACACUCUUCACCAUACACUCUAUACUGUUUGAUAGUGAAACAUUUCAGGGGUAUUUAUGUGUCAUACUGCUUGUCACACUGAAGUUGUUUACAAAAAAAGAUCGUAUUUUCUCAUUUCAUCCGAUAUUGAUUUUCAUCGAUUUUUAUAUAGGGGAGAGUGGGGUGAUUGGUGCCAGCGGGGAAGUUGUGCCACCCCCUAUUUCUAGGGAACCAUAGAAGAAAUUGGUCAUGUGACCACACAUUUUUGAAGACUCAGCCAUUUCAAUCAUCCUGCAGAGAAGAGAGCCUCAUUGCAUGAGAGGAUAUGAUUGGUUUGGAGCCUUUAAAGCACGCCGUCAUUUGUCACGCCGCACUCCUGAAGCAACCUCUGUUGGUAGAGCUACUGCAAUUAAUAGGCACAACGUGAGGGAGUUCUUUGAUAACCUAAAGUGAUGGACAGGUAUGACUUCCUUCCACACAAGAUCUACAACAUGGAUGAAACUGGUGUGACGGAAAAUGACCUUUGAUGUGCUCAUGUGGUG